RNAcentral lists this microRNA precursor (118 nucleotides) under Myotis lucifugus (little brown bat). Its description in RNAcentral is "mir-9193 microRNA precursor family". It matches the Rfam family "mir-9193 microRNA precursor family". Lineage: Eukaryota; Metazoa; Chordata; Mammalia; Chiroptera; Vespertilionidae. The record is from Rfam by way of RNAcentral.
CAUGCACUAAUGGGGUCCCUCGGCCUAGCCUGCGGGAUUGGGCCGAAACUGGUUCUCUGAUAUCCCCUGAGGGGUCCGAGAGGGCGCAGGCCAGGCUGAGGGACCCCACUGGUGCACG